Long non-coding RNA from Labeo rohita (rohu), 1663 nucleotides. RefSeq lists it as uncharacterized. NCBI's taxonomy places the organism in Eukaryota, Metazoa, Chordata, Actinopteri, Cypriniformes, Cyprinidae. The record is from RefSeq and is a predicted model, not a curated record. The transcript has 3 exons.
AACCCCAAGAAUCUAGCAAUCAGUCGUAGGCUUAUGUAACGUAACACUGCAUUUUAAAUGACUUGAGCAUGAAAUGAGCUUCGUAUUUGGGAAAUCUCCAAGAAGAUGGACUGCUUCCUGUUAGUUUUCAUUCCCUCGCUCACUCGCUCAUGUGAUUUGAUAGUGAAACGAGUAAAUUCAACAGGCAGGUCAGGAAAGUGGGAGGCUCUUUGCCCCUCUGGGCUUAGAAACUCUGACAUGUGUGUGUUUACACACAGCCCCAAGGAUUCGUUUCCAAUGACAUGACUCUCGCUAACACAACAGCAGCAGCGUAUGCCGGGACUUGCAGAUGUCAUAGUUUGGCCGUCAUUUAAAGCCAAGUACAAGUUGUACCCUGGAGCAAGGCCAGAACUGAGCAUAGGAACAUGAAAAGGGACAACUGGGUGAAUUUAGCACUCGGACAAUAACAACAGAGUUGAAGAUAUUUACGCAGCGUGUUCCCAAUAUGUUGGAGGCCAAAAAUGAAGACACGAGCCCAGUGCCAGGGCACAUACGCUUACACGUGUGCGAGCGUGUGUUGGAAUACACCCCUCGCUUAAAUCCUCCUCCGGGCUUCGAGCCUGAAGCGCUUUUCUCAUCCUGUUGGACAAAAUGCAACUUCAAUCAGAAAACACAAACAAUCAUUGAACAGGCACUUUGAGUUCACAUCAGAAGCAUUCCGCAACAGCUUUCCAUGAGAUGUCAGUAAAGGGAAAACAAAGGCUGUUUAACAUUAAAACACUCUUGAUCAAAAUUAGGUUUUAUGAGGGUUUAAACAGUAAAUCACUGCUCUUACUUGCAUUAGACAAGUAAACGUGCAUAUGUCUAGUUGGUGCCUUGAGCUUACUUGAAAAGAGUGUUCACCCAAAAUUCUGACAUAAUUUUAUUCCCCCUCACAUCAUCCCAAAACUGUAUGACUGUGCAACAGCACAGGUGCUCAUUUAUUAAAAAAGGAAAGAAAAAAGUGACAGAAUAAAUGUUUCACAAUUCUGAAAUUACAUGAGGGUAAGUAAAUGAUGACAUGCAAAUCGCCACAUGCAAUCAGUUUUACGUCUACAAUUUGAGGGAUUAGUGGAAAAAAGGGGGGAAGCAUGGAGUUACAACCAUCUGCAAAUGCAGGAACUUUGGAUAUGGUGAAAUAUUUCAGUUUGUGCAGCUACACACCGAACAGAUGUGAUGUAUUCCAUACAUCUAUGUGCAUGACCUGAGUAUUGUAAAUGUUUUUGUCUGUCUUUUUGUGAAACAUCUGCUGUUUCUGUAAAAUAAAUGGCUAUGAAUGCAGUGAGAAAUAAUUACUAACUGUGGUCUUGGGAAACUCAUUAUAUAUUUCCUUCAAAAUUAUUUGUGGCGUAACUUCUAAGUACAUUUCCUGAAAAGAGAAAGAGAGAGAAACACAAUAUCCAAUAAGAAAAAUUACUUGCUGACUAACAAACUAAACAUUAUUACUAAACGUGGUUUUGAGAAACCAAUGAUAUGUUUCUUCUAAAGUUAUCUGUGGCAUAUAUUGCAUUAUACAGCAUACCUCAAAGGGUUAGUUCACCCCAAAAUGAAAAUUCUGUCAUUAAUUACUCACCCUCAUGUCACUCCAAACCCGUAAGACCUUUGUUUAUCUUUGGAACACAAAUUAACAUUUUUUUGAUGAAUU